RNAcentral lists this ribosomal RNA (377 nucleotides) under uncultured Streptococcus sp. RNAcentral describes it as "bacterial SSU rRNA". It matches the Rfam family "Bacterial small subunit ribosomal RNA", at positions 1002 to 1382 of the family's 1533-position model. The record is from RNAcentral. Lineage: Bacteria; Bacillati; Bacillota; Bacilli; Lactobacillales; Streptococcaceae.
AGAGAUAGAAAGUUACUUCGGUACAUCGGUGACAGGUGGUGCAUGGUUGUCGUCAGCUCGUGUCGUGAGAUGUUGGUUAAGUCCCGCAACGAGCGCAACCCCUAUUGUUAGUUGCCAUCAUUCAGUUGGGCACUCUAGCGAGACUGCCGGUAAUAAACCGGAGGAAGGUGGGGAUGACGUCAAAUCAUCAUGCCCCUUAUGACCUGGGCUACACACGUGCUACAAUGGUUGGUACAACGAGUUGCGAGUCGGUGACGGCGAGCUAAUCUCUUAAAGCCAAUCUCAGUUCGGAUUGUAGGCUGCAACUCGCCUACAUGAAGUCGGAAUCGCUAGUAAUCGUGGAUCAGCACGCCGCGGUGAAUACGUUCCCGGGCCUU